CAGACGGCGAGUAUUGCAGCGGCAAAGCCUACACACACUGGGUUGAAAAGAGCUUCUCUUAUUCAGCGUUACAUGUCCUCUUGAACACAGACAUGUAUCGCCCGGGUGAACCUGUUCGCCAGGCGCCUCCACCGCUGCCGUUCGGACCUCCACCGCCUCACGGCCCUCCUUUUAGACUCACAGGGCCCUGCUCUGUUCCUCCUCCUGGACACUUACCCCCCAGGCCCUGUGGACCAUAUCCCGGCGCGGCACGAGAUUAUCUCCACAACAGACCGUCGAGUGGGCAUUUCGUUCGUCUACAAAGGACAAACGAACAAAAAGUGACUGCACAUCUCAAGCAUCUGAUAAACAUAAGGAGGGUGACAGUGAGGAAAGGAAGAGAGAGAAACAACAGAAAGUAAAUAAAAUGGAGUCUUUGGCCAAAGAACUGGAUGAACUGUUAAAACAAGAUGGACAGGGUUUUAUAACUUCAGUUACUGGCUUUUACUGCCAGAAAUGUGAGGAGUUCAUUGGAGAUUUGAAGUCUGCUGAAAACCAUGCAGCUAUCCGCCAUCAUAGUAAUUCUAUUCCAAAAGAACAGACGGACAGGCACUCUAAAGACAGCAAAGGACACCCUCAUCAUUACAGUGCCUCCAGUAAUCGACACCCUGCCCCCCCAGACAGGAGAGAUCACAGGGGUUAUGGUUACCACGGGGAUUCAGGAAACCACCGGAAUAGGACAGACCAUCUACGGAAUUGGAAGGAUGAGAAAGAUUUCAGAAGCCAAUACCAUGAUGAUGACCACAAAAGUCACAAGGAUAGAGAUGAAAACAUCUUCUUGAAAGAGGAAAUGAAAAAGGAGCAAAUGUUUAUAACAGUCUCCGAUGGACUGACACCUUCAACUUCUAACAUCAGGGUCAAGGAGGAGGUGGACAAGGAGAAGGCCACUGGAAGCCAUGGUAAAGUUAAAGCGAAAGACCUAGAAUCAUCCAAGGAGAAAAAAGGCAGCAUUGAAAAUGAUAAAUACAGUGAUAGCACUGAUGAUGACGGAAAAUCACCUAAAACAAAAAAGAAUAAAAAGAAAAAGAAGAAGAAGGAGAAAAAGAAUAAGAAACAGAAGGAAGAUAAGUCUUAGGUGUUAUAUUGUCCUUGUCAUAUAACUCUGGGAUCAUGGUGUAGCAGCUUAUUUCUGGACUGAUUUUCUAACAUAGUUUUCUCACUUUCUUUUCCUCCACCCAAUUGUUUUUUGUUACUGUCAUUAUGAAGGAAUAGACUGAUAUGUUAGGAAGCACGUUUGUUGGUGGUCGUUCUCUAAAAGUAGUUUAGUAUUACUUUUAUCUUUGUGUAUCUAGGACAGUGGUCUUUACCUCACUUAGAACUAAGAUUGACUUUUCUCAGUUAAUUUAGGUAUUUUUUCCCACUUCAGACAGCGUGUGUGCUCGGUCAAAUGAAUUCUCAUGUGGAAUGAAAUGUUCUCAUGUGUUCCUCAGUAAACAGGCAAACAAAAACCUUUUCCAAAACGUCUGUUCCCUUUACACAUUCUGCACAGUUUUCAGCAGUACUGUAUUAAUGUCUGCCACGUUUCAGGUAUGGCAUCACAUCUUGGUUCUAUCUUUUAAUUAAAUGUUCGAGAAAAUAAGCAGUAAGUACUUUUUUCAUUUC
Molecule: long non-coding RNA, 1641 nt
Organism: Oreochromis aureus
Lineage: Eukaryota; Metazoa; Chordata; Actinopteri; Cichliformes; Cichlidae
Source: Ensembl